GCAGUUGGUCGGUUUAGAGCUGCACAGGGCCCCAGAUGUAUGAGAGAGCAGGCACUGACUAUCAGGGGUGUCCUGAGGGAGCUGCAUUUUGGAGACCAGGGUGGCAUGAGACAGAGCUGCCUGAGGCACUGAUUGGGUAGUGCUGAGGAUCAAGGCCGUUCCUCCCUCAAAGUCAGCCAUACUUGGAUAUGGACCCAGGGAACUGAGUGAAAAAAAAGUGAAAAAGAGACUAGCUAUUUGAGCCGCUAGAUUAUUUUCUUCAGCAAAACACUCAGGGCGAGUGUGACUAUAUUCAGCAGCUCCCAGCUCUACAUUAUAAGUGCAAAACAUUGUCUGGCACCUGUGGGUAAUUAAAUGACCAGCUCCUGCUCCCUCCAUACCCAAAGGCUGCGAGAGAAUUCUGCAAUCACCAUACAAAGCCAAACAGCCGGAGGAGGUCGAGCAAAAUAAUACGGAACAAUUACCUGGCGCACUCUCCGCACUCCCUCUACGUCUAACAACGGACAGCGUAUUUUGCUUUUUACACAGAGACAUGCAUUGGACAGAGAUGGAGCAUAACGCUGUAGUUAUCUUGGUUGGAAUACAGCGUCCUCCCUCUGCCAGUCCGCUAGUAUUAUUCAUCUAUAACGGAGCUGAGUGAAAAGAAGGCUGGAUGGCCCAGAGACAGACCAGGGGGCAGGCAAGGAAGCAAAACAUUGUCCAAAGCUGAUACCCCAGUGACAGAGAGCCAGCGCUGAGGAGAAUUGAGUGCACUGCCCAGCUGAUUGGUGUCACCAGGGGGAGAGACAUUUGAUUGCAGCAUCAGAAGGGUGAUCUCAUCUGGAACAGCUGAGUGAAAAGAAGGCUGGAUGGCCCAGAGACAGACCAGGGGGCAGGCAAGGAAGCAAAACAUUGUCCAAAGAUGAUACCCCAGUGACAGAGAGCCAGCGCUGAGGAGAAUUGAGUGCACUGCCCAGCUGAUUGGUGUCACCAGGGGGAGAGACAUUUGAUUGCAGCAUCAGAAGGGUGAUCUCAUCUGGAACAGGUCUGUGUAUUCCUGAGCACACCUCCUCCUCACCUCACACAGGCAGCCCUAGCAUCACACAGCAAAGACACUGUCAGAGCUGCAGCAUAUACCCCACAAAUAGAAGACUCAAUGGCAAUUGAUGGCUGAGAUAGCUGCUCACAUUAAUCCCAACACUAAGUAUAUAACCCUGCCUGCAUAAGCUGGGUAACUAAAGUGCAGACACCCUGUGUAGCCAUUGGAAAAGACUGUAGAGACUCUAUCAGCUGCUACAACUAGGAACACAGAUAGUGUGAAGGAGUUACUUUUUAUACCAAAUGUUGCAUCUAAUA
Molecule: long non-coding RNA, 1335 nt
Organism: Pseudophryne corroboree (corroboree frog)
Lineage: Eukaryota; Metazoa; Chordata; Amphibia; Anura; Myobatrachidae
Exons: 3
Source: RefSeq, a predicted model, not a curated record